Molecule: non-coding RNA, 86 nt
Filed under: uncultured Paenibacillus sp.
Lineage: Bacteria; Bacillati; Bacillota; Bacilli; Caryophanales; Paenibacillaceae
Description: Cyclic di-GMP-I riboswitch
Rfam family: c-di-GMP-I riboswitch aptamer
About the family: GEMM was predicted in a large-scale screen for bacterial structured RNA regulatory elements. Genes associated with GEMM are involved in a diverse array of functions, including chemotaxis regulation, signal transduction, secretion and chitin.
Source: RNAcentral
GAAACGGCAAACCGCGUGAAAGCGCGGGACGCAAAGCUAUAGGGGCUUCGUGAGACGACAACUCUCACAUGCCAGCCAGUUCCCGA